UACGACUACAUAUCAGGCAUAUCAAUAAGCGGAGGAAAAGAAACUAACUAGGAUUCCCUUAGUAACGGCGAGUGAAGCGGGAAGAGCUCAAAUUUGAAAUCUUCAAGGUUCUACCUUGACGAAUUGUAGUUUAAAGAAGUGUUUUCUGUUGGAGUUUUCGGUAAAAGUUCUUUGGAAUAGGACAUCAUAGAGGGUGAGAAUCCCGUAUUUGACCAUUUACUUCCAGCUGUGUGAUACACUUUCAAAGAGUCGGAUUGUUUGGGAAUGCAGUUCCAAAAUGGGUGGUAAAUUUCAUCUAAAGCUAAAUAUUGGCGAGAGACCGAUAGCGAACAAGUACCGUGAGGGAAAGAUGAAAAGAACUUUGAAAAGAGAGUUAAACAGUACGUGAAAUUGUCAAAAGGGAAGCGUUUGACACCAGUGUUGUUUUCUCGAAAAUCAAUUAAAAAGUAUGGGAUUUUGUAUUGUUAAGACCUUAUCAGCUUACGGUACUUUUUUCUUAUUCUUUUUAAUGCACUUUUCGUUUAACAAGUCAACAUCAAUUUCUUUUGUUGUAAAAGAGUCAUUGGAAGGUGGCUUUCACUUCGGUGAAAGUGUUUAUAGCCUUUGGCUUCUGCAAUCGGAGAGAUUGAGGUCUGCAGCGUAGAUCCCUUCGGGGUUAGAUACGUAGAUGCUAAGUUAUAGUUUUUCAUAGACAACUUGUUGACUAUGAUUAAUCAUGUAGCUUACUCGUUUGCGCUAUUUUACCUACGCUUAGGAUGUUGACGCGCGUGUGUGCGUG
Molecule: ribosomal RNA, 778 nt
Filed under: uncultured Neocallimastigales
Lineage: Eukaryota; Fungi; Neocallimastigomycota; Neocallimastigomycetes; Neocallimastigales
Description: partial large subunit ribosomal RNA
Rfam family: Eukaryotic large subunit ribosomal RNA
Source: RNAcentral